Molecule: RNA transcript, 1358 nt
Organism: Schistocerca americana (American grasshopper)
Lineage: Eukaryota; Metazoa; Arthropoda; Insecta; Orthoptera; Acrididae
Gene: ix
Gene name: mediator of RNA polymerase II transcription subunit 29
Exons: 6
Source: RefSeq, a predicted model, not a curated record
UGUCUUUGGUGUGUUUGUUUUCGUUUUAUAAAGCGGUGAAUGUGGAUGUUCAGCUGUUGCCACUAGUAAUACUACAGAUAUUGAGGAAGGAAAUCUUGCUAACCAUUAGUAAAUAUUUUCAAAAUAGAAAUGCAGCCUAUGCAACCAAUGCAACCACAGAUGCCAGGAGCUAUGUCCCAGAUGGGACCACAGCAGCCUGGGAAUCCACAAGUAGUACAGCAAAUACCCCAAUCUCUGACACAACCCCAGGAAAGGCUAGAUAAUAUUUCCAAAGUGAAAAUGUUAAUCGGUCCUCUAAGAGAUUCACUUUCGCUCACAAUAAAGAGUGCAGCACAAAUUCUUCAUCAGAAUUAUUUGGUGGAUGUUGGGCCACAGAAAGCUGUGGAUGUUCAGCCCCCAAGAUUUGAUAAGAGUAUAGAAGAAUUUUAUUCCAUAUGUGAUCAGAUGGAACUCCACUUGAAGACAUCAAUAGAAUGCCUAAACCAGCUGUCCAGUAGCCAGCGAUACCUUCCCUUACCAGUGGCUACGGCACGAACAGAGCCUUUGCCAGCACAGGAUGUUGGCUCCCUAACAUAUCCACAGUAUCUGGCAACCGUGCGAGCUCAAGUUGGUUAUACAAAGGAAAUCCAUGAUGUUCUUCUGGCUGCUGCACAGAAUCUUGAUUUCUGAAGAAGAAAACUAUUUCAAGACUUGCAGAAAAUGGUGAUAAUUCUGUUGUAUAAUUUCAAAGAUCUUGUGAGAUCCAGAUAUUGGUUCUGCAUUACUUCAUUUAUACCUGUUGCAAUACUGAGCAACAAAAUGAGAUGCAGCAGAAACCAAUAAAUUAGACUAACAUCACCGUACUCAGCAUUCCAUCGUUCAUAAGCUGACAAACUCAAAGGAGAAACACUGCGGCGAAUCCUCUUCAGAGAGUCAACAAAGUCUUGAAAAUUUAUGUUCCGUACACUGUUAGGGUCCAUACACCGGACUUGCUCAGGGUUAAGUUCUGAAAUAAAGGUAUUGCACAAUUUAGUUAUUUUUCUAAGUUACCACAAUUCAUUCCUUAUCAGUAGUUGUAAGAAUUCUUCCAACAUUCGGGCAACAUUGUAGUUACUACAUUUUGGCACUUUGGAUAACUCUCAUUCUGUUACCUAUUUUAAUCUUUUAUAGUCCCAUAACAAAAUUGCACAAUCUGUAAGAUACAUAUCCAGUGAAACUUCCUGGCAGAUUAAAACUGUAUGCUAGACAGAGACUCGAACUCAGGACUUACCUUUCGCUGGCAGCAGGCCAGUACUGGCAAGUAAAGCUGUGAGGAUGGGUCAUGAGUCGUACUUGGGUAGCUCAAUUGGUAGAGCACUUGCCUGCAGAAGGCAAAGGUC